CCAAUAGCGUAUAUUAAAGUUGUUGCAGUUAAAAAGCUCGUAGUUGAAUUUCGAGAUCAAAUUGUUGGUCGUGCCUUGGUACGCACUGGCAUUAUUGGUUUCUCCCUUCUGACGAACCAUGAUGUCAUUAAUUUGGUGUCUUGGGGAAUCAGGACUGUUACUUUGAAAAAAUUAGAGUGUUUAAAGCAGGCUCACGCUUGAAUACAUUAGCAUGGAAUAAUGAAAUAGGACGUUUGAUUCUAUUUCGUUGGUUUCUAGGAUCGACGUAAUGAUUAAUAGGGAUAGUUGGGGGCAUUAGUAUUCAAUUGUCAGAGGUGAAAUUCUUGGAUUUAUCGAAGACUAACUACUGCGAAAGCAUUUGCCAAGGAUGUUUUCAUUAAUCAAGAACGAAAGUUAGGGGAUCGAAGACGAUCAGGUACCGUCGUAGUCUUAACCAUAAACUAUGCCGACUAGGGAUCGGAUGAUGUUAAUUUUUUAAUGACUCAUUCGGCAGCCUCCG
This 499-nucleotide ribosomal RNA is filed under the name uncultured Glomeromycotina. Its description in RNAcentral is "partial small subunit ribosomal RNA". It matches the Rfam family "Eukaryotic small subunit ribosomal RNA", at positions 591 to 1092 of the family's 1831-position model. The record is from RNAcentral. Lineage: Eukaryota; Fungi; Glomeromycota.